CCUACGGGAGGCAGCAGUGGGGAAUUUUGGACAAUGGGCGAAAGCCUGAUCCAGCAAUGCCGCGUGAGUGAAGAAGGCCUUCGGGUUGUAAAGCUCUUUUGUCAGGGAAGAAACGGUGAGGGCUAAUAUCCCUUGCUAAUGACGGUACCUGAAGAAUAAGCACCGGCUAACUACGUGCCAGCAGCCGCGGUAAUACGUAGGGUGCAAGCGUUAAUCGGAAUUACUGGGCGUAAAGCGUGCGCAGGCGGUUUUGUAAGUCUGUCGUGAAAUCCCCGGGCUCAACCUGGGAAUUGCGAUGGAGACUGCAAGGCUAGAAUCUGGCAGAGGGGGGUAGAAUUCCACGUGUAGCAGUGAAAUGCGUAGAGAUGUGGAGGAACACCGAUGGCGAAGGCAGCCCCCUGGGUCAAGAUUGACGCUCAUGCACGAAAGCGUGGGGAGCAAACAGGAUUAGAUACCCUGGUAGUCCACGCCCUAAACGAUGUCUACUAGUUGUCGGGUUUUAAUUAACUUGGUAACGCAGCUAACGCGUGAAGUUAGACCGCCUGGGGAGUACGGUCGCAAGAUUAAAACCUCAAAUGAAAUUGACGG
RNAcentral lists this ribosomal RNA (588 nucleotides) under uncultured bacterium. RNAcentral's name for it is "bacterial SSU rRNA". It matches the Rfam family "Bacterial small subunit ribosomal RNA", at positions 338 to 916 of the family's 1533-position model. The record is from RNAcentral.